RNAcentral lists this ribosomal RNA (776 nucleotides) under uncultured Neocallimastigales. RNAcentral describes it as "partial large subunit ribosomal RNA". It matches the Rfam family "Eukaryotic large subunit ribosomal RNA", at positions 22 to 628 of the family's 3401-position model. The record is from RNAcentral. Lineage: Eukaryota; Fungi; Neocallimastigomycota; Neocallimastigomycetes; Neocallimastigales.
GUACACGCUGUGACUAGCAUAUCAAUAAGCGGAGGAAAAGAAACUAACAAGAAUUCCCCUAGUAACGGCGAGUGAAGCGGGAAGAGCUCAAAUUUGAAAUCUUAAAGGGUUUCCCUUUACGAAUUGUAGUUUAAAGAAGUGUUUUCUGUUGAGGUUUUGGUAAAAGUUCUUUGGAAUAGGACAUCAUAGAGGGUGAGAAUCCCGUAUUUGACCUUUACUUUCAACUUUGUGAUACACUUUCAAAGAGUCGGAUUGUUUGGGAAUGCAGUCCCAAAUGGGUGGUAAAUUUCAUCUAAAGCUAAAUAUUGGCGAGAGACCGAUAGCGAACAAGUACCGUGAGGGAAAGAUGAAAAGAACUUUGAAAAGAGAUGUUAAACAGUACGUGAAAUUGUCAAAAGGGAAGCGUUUGACACCAGUGUUGUUUUUCUGAAAAUCAAUUAAAGAACUGUUUAUGCUAAGCUGUUUAGACUUUAUCAGCUAUCUGUUUAGUUUUGAGCUUUUCUUUAAUGCACUUUUCAGUUAACAAGUCAACAUCAAUUUCUUUUGCUGUAAAAAAGCUUGAGGAAGGUGGCUUGAGAUUCGUCUUAAGUGUUUAUAGCCUCUUGCCUAUGCAGUCGGAGAGAUUGAGGUCUGCAGCGUAGAUCCUUCGGGGCUAAAUGCAGUUUGUGCUAAGUUAUAGCAUUUUAUAGACAACUUGUUGACUAUGAUUUGUCUUGUAGCUUACUCGCUUAUGUUAUUUUACCUACGCUUAGGAUGUUGAGUCGUAGAGCACGCAG